GACCGCUCCGGUGGCUUAGUGGUUAGAGCGUCCACCUCGGAUGCGAGAGGUAGCGAGUUCGAACCCCAGUCGAGUCA
Molecule: non-coding RNA, 77 nt
Organism: Potamilus streckersoni
Lineage: Eukaryota; Metazoa; Mollusca; Bivalvia; Unionida; Unionidae
Source: the annotation of a GenBank genome assembly